RNAcentral lists this ribosomal RNA (496 nucleotides) under uncultured bacterium. RNAcentral describes it as "partial 16S ribosomal RNA". It matches the Rfam family "Bacterial small subunit ribosomal RNA", at positions 29 to 507 of the family's 1533-position model. The record is from RNAcentral.
AUGAACGCUGGCGGCGUGCCUAAUACAUGCAAGUCGAGCGAACAGACGAGGAGCUUGCUCCUCUGACGUUAGCGGCGGACGGGUGAGUAACACGUGGAUAACCUACCUAUAAGACUGGGAUAACUUCGGGAAACCGGAGCUAAUACCGGAUAAUAUAUUGAACCGCAUGGUUCAAUAGUGAAAGACGGUUUUGCUGUCACGUAUAGAUGGAUCCGCGCCGCAUUAGCUAGUUGGUAAGGUAACGGCUUACCAAGGCAACGAUGCGUAGCCGACCUGAGAGGGUGAUCGGCCACACUGGAACUGAGACACGGUCCAGACUCCUACGGGAGGCCGCAGUAGGGAAUCUUCCGCAAUGGGCGAAAGCUUGACGGAGCAACGCCGCGUGAGUGAUGAAGGUCUUCGGAUCGUAAAACUCUGUUAUUAGGGAAGAACAAAUGUGUAAGUAACUAUGCACGUCUUGACGGUACCUAAUCAGAAAGCCACGGCUAACUACGUG